CCUACGGGAGGCAGCAGUGGGGAAUCUUGCGCAGUGGGCGAAAGCCUGACGCAGCGAUGCCGCGUGAGUGAUGAAGGCCUUCGGGUUGUAAAGCUCUGUGGGGAGAGAAGAAUAAGUCGUCGUGAAUAACGCCGAUGAUGACGGUAUCUCCUUAGCAAGCACCGGCUAACUCUGUGCCAGCAGCCGCGGUAAGACAGAGGGUGCAAACGUUGUUCGGAAUUACUGGGCGUAAAGCGAGUGUAGGCGGUGAGAUAAGUCGGACGUGAAAGCCCGGGGCUCAACCUCGGAAGUGCGCUCGAUACUGUCUCGCUUGAGUGUCGGAGAGGUUGGUGGAAUUCUGGGUGUAGAGGUGAAAUUCGUAGAUAUCCAGAGGAACACCGGUGGCGAAGGCGGCCAACUGGACGACGACUGACGCUGAGACUCGAAAGUGUGGGGAGCAAACAGGAUUAGAUACCCUGGUAGUCCACACCGUAAACGAUGGGUGCUAGGUGCUGCAGCUUGUCUCCUGCGGUGCGUACGCUACGCAUAAGCGACCCCGCCCGUCGGAGGUACGGUCGCGAGAACGUAAACGUACGAAAGGAAGUUAGACGGACGUUAGGAGACGNGCCGACGGACGACACGAGGGGAGGUUAGG
This 634-nucleotide ribosomal RNA is filed under the name uncultured bacterium. RNAcentral describes it as "bacterial SSU rRNA". The stretch from base 1 to 540 matches the Rfam family "Bacterial small subunit ribosomal RNA", at positions 338 to 873 of the family's 1533-position model. The record is from RNAcentral.